UAGCGGAGGAAAAGAAACCAACCGGGAUUGCCUUAGUAACGGCGAGUGAAGCGGCAAAAGCUCAAAUUUGAAAUCUAGUACCUUCGGUGCUCGAGUUGUAAUUUGUAGAGGGAUACUUUGGGGCCGUUCCUUGUCUAUGUUCCUUGGAACAGGACGUCAUAGAGGGUGAGAAUCCCGUGUGGCGAGGAGUGCGGUUCUAUGUAAAGUGCCUUCGAAGAGUCGAGUUGUUUGGGAAUGCAGCUCUAAGUGGGUGGUAAAUUCCAUCUAAAGCUAAAUAUUGGCGAGAGACCGAUAGCGAACAAGUACAGUGAUGGAAAGAUGAAAAGAACUUUGAAAAGAGAGUGAAAAAGUACGUGAAAUUGUUGAAAGGGAAGGGCAUUUGAUCAGACAUGGUGUUUUGCGCCCUCUGCUCCUUGUGGGUGGGGGACUCUCGCAGCUCACUGGGCCAACAUCAGUUUUGGUGGUCGGACAAAUCCGUAGGAAUGUAGCUUACCUCGGUAAGUGUUAUAGCCUGCGGGAAUACGGCCAGCCGGGACUGAGGACUGCGACUUUUGUCAAGGAUGUUGGCAUAAUGGUUAUAUGCCGCCCGUCUUGA
RNAcentral lists this ribosomal RNA (595 nucleotides) under Monosporozyma servazzii. RNAcentral describes it as "LSU rRNA". It matches the Rfam family "Eukaryotic large subunit ribosomal RNA", at positions 48 to 657 of the family's 3401-position model. The record is from RNAcentral. Lineage: Eukaryota; Fungi; Ascomycota; Saccharomycetes; Saccharomycetales; Saccharomycetaceae.